Molecule: long non-coding RNA, 445 nt
Organism: Homo sapiens (human)
Lineage: Eukaryota; Metazoa; Chordata; Mammalia; Primates; Hominidae
Exons: 2
Source: RefSeq, a predicted model, not a curated record
GUGAAAGGUGUGCUGUCCUUAGAUAGAGAUACUCUCCAAACCAAACUUGGAUGUAACUGUGAAGAAUAAUGUGCCAGGAAGAACUGCCCUGAGAGCAACACUGGGGCCCAUGAAGGACAGCGGACAGAAGACACCUUCUCAGAGGCCAGCACUUCGUCUACCAGAUUGGCUUUCCAAGGAACUCACUGAGCUGCGGGGUGGCUUAUCCUUCCUGUCCGGUAGUACUGGAAAUUUACACCCUUCUUCUUAACAAGUUGAUUGAAAGUCAUACCUGAGCAGGUAAUUUUGGCUUCUUCAUAGUGAUCACAGGUAAGUCCACCCCAUUGCCAGUUCUUGCAGUCCCAAAGAGAAGUUUCAUUUCCGUUACAGCUACUUAGAAACAGCCAUGUGUUUGUUGCCUGGAUUUUGGAGUACACUUGAUAAGAUGUUUUGAGUGCAGAUCCAC